RNAcentral lists this long non-coding RNA (3516 nucleotides) under Phocoena sinus (vaquita). Its description in RNAcentral is "lncRNA (ENSPSNG00000016942.1)". The record is from RNAcentral. Lineage: Eukaryota; Metazoa; Chordata; Mammalia; Artiodactyla; Phocoenidae.
GUAGAGGACUCGCUUUCACUGUCUUCUGCUGACAGGUGAGCAAUUCAGGUAGUCAUGUAACUGAAUUCGCUGUAUUCACUGGGUGGGAAAUUCUUGAUUCACAGAUAAUUUGCAUAUGUACUCUAACCUUUCUAUGUAUUCCCUCGGGAUUUUUUUUUUUUUUUUUUUGGUAAUAAAUUUAUUUAUUUAUUUAUUUUUGGCUGUGUUGGGUCUUCGUUGCUGGGUGCGGGCUUUCUCUAGUUGCGGCGAGCGGGGGCUACUUUUCGUUGCGGUGCGCGGGCUUAUUGUGGUGGCUUCUCUUCUUGCAGAGCAGGGGCUCUAGGCGCAUGGGCUUCAGUAGUUGUGGCACACAGGCUCAGUAGUUGUGGCUCGUGGGCUCUAGAGCGCAGGCUCAGUAGUUGUGGCACACAGGCUUCAUUGUUCCGCGACAUGUGGGAUCUUCCCGGACCAGGGCUCGAACCUGUGUCCCCUGCAUUGGCAGGUGGAUUCUUAACCAGUGCACCACCCAUGAAGUCCCACCCUCAGGAUGUUUUCUGGACAGAGCCACUUUACAACUUUCAGGAGGACAAAGAACAGAGCCAUGAGGGUUAAAAAAUUUGAGGUUGUGGGCCUGUUGAAAAGAAAAGCUCUGGGUAUGACCGUGACAAGAUUCCCUGGUGUGAGUUGGUAAGUUCAACAGUAGUGCACCCUCAAAAAGGCAAUAGGAGGGAUUUAGGUUCAAAGAAAGAAGAGAUUCCUGAUUCAUGUUCAUUAUAGUUGCCGUUUACUGAGCACUCACUAAAUACCAAUCACUGUUCUAGAUGUCUCUAUAUCUUUUAACUUCCACCAGCACCCUGUGAGAGGAGAUACUAUAUUAUCCCCAUUGUACAGGUGAAGAAACCCAAGCUGAGGGGACUCAAAUAACUUGCCCAGUGCUACAGAAUUAGUCCAUAAGAGCAGAGUUAAUAUACCAUCUUUUUCUUAGCUCCCUUUUUUUUUUUUUGACCACACCUCACAGCAUGCAGGACUUUGGUUCCCAGAACAGGGAUCAAACCCACAUCCCCUGCACUGGAACCUUGAAGUCUUAACCACUGGACCAUCAGGGAAGUCCCUAGCUCCCUUUGUUGGCCAGAAAGAAAUAAAAGUGCAUGGCCUGAAGCUGGAAAGAGCAAAUCAGUGUUCAAUUUCUUCAUUGUAAAUGGACAGUAAUUUGUUAGUUGAAGUGAGCUCCUAUGCCUUAAACAAAAGUGUGUGAUGUAAAUAGGGACUGAACUCCUGCAGAAUGAAUAGGAAUAAAAAUGGGGCUCAACUGAGAGCAAGUUAUUGAGAUUCUAGUGACUCCUUCAAGGGUCAGAAUUUUCAACCAAAACACAAGUAAUUUGGGUUGUCAAUUCAGUAUAAAUUUGUCCCUGAUUUAAUAAGUAUGCUAACUGACGUCCCUGGACAGAGAUGGCUUUUUGGAUUAGCUGUCUUUCCUUUGAAUAUAGCACAUUCCGAAGCCUACUUUAUAGUUUGUAUGGUCAUAGUUAUUUAAUUAUUUGUUAGUCUCCCCAGGUGAACUAUAAGCUCCAUGAAGGCCAGCCCCAGGUCUGCUUUGUUCACAUAGUGCAGUGCCUUGCACUUCAUAGGUGCUCAGUUAAUGUUUAUUGACUGAUUCAUCUAGUCCUUGGGCAAGACUGGCAUCUGAGGUUCUCAGGGCCACAAACAAAUUCUUCUAUACAUCUGCCCAAAGCAGGGAAGGAAGCCCUCCCAGACCCUUGUUGUGCUUCUAGGUUGGGCUAUUAGAUUCCCUAGGUCCUGCCUCCUUUGGGUGGGGCCCCAGAGGCUUGAUGCCACUGGGGCUCUGGUUUUGGCAGUGGGGCUUGUCUUUGUUCUGAGAUAUUAACUGUAAAUGGAUCAUGCUAUUUCCUGUUCUCAGGAGAACUCAGUGGGGCCACAACUGAGGGGCAGUGAGAACACAGAGUUACUGUGUACUCUGCUGGAACCUCCCCAUUGCUACCCAGAGAUGGCUCCAAUAUACGUUAGCCAAUCAGGGAAUUCCAAACCCUUUUCCUGAACUCUAAACAGCUUGAGGAAUCUCUCCAGCUGGAAUUGGAAAAGCUCCUAGCCAGGAGAGCCAAGUCUUAUGUAACUUUACAGACUGCCCUUUUUUAGGAAAAAACAAACUGUUCCUCAGCUAGUGCUGGAUUUUUUGAGACACAUCCUGCAUUCUUUCCUAGAUGCUCAGCAGCCCCAUUGGAAGCAGCCAACAGGCUGGAGUUGAAGACUGAUGAGGUUCAGCAGGGAGAGAUAACGAAAGAGGGAUAGAGGAUGUCUGUCAUUCUGGCUGGAGCAUGCUGUUCUGGUUCUCAUGCUGCAGCUCGCACUAGCAGUAAAGGGAGUUCAGUGUUGAGGUGAAGGGAGAGGAGCUGUACCUGGGGAUAUUUGCCCUGCACAUUCCAGAAGCCAACCACUGUACCCCCUUUAUCUUCUUAGCACCCCAUACCCCAAGAGGGAGGACUAGAACUAAGUGUGUGUAAAUAUGUCCACAGCUGUAAUGAACCAAAUUCUUCUCUAGAAAAGGAAAUUUUCCCAAUUUACUUUGGUGAAGAUUCAGUUCCUCCUUAGUUCAAUUCAGUGAACAUUUUAAGCCAUGUGCCAGGCUCUAGGCUAGGUUAAAUGACUACAGAGAUGAAUAAAACAGUCUCUAUCCUUAAUGUGCAACCAAGGAGGAAAGAGAAAAUGUAUAUAAACAAUUAUAAUACACUUCCUUGCUUUAUAGUCCUGUGUGCUUUAUGUAAUUCUUUUACUCUCAACUCUCUUAUACAGGUAACCGUCAGGUUUAUAUCCACGUGUGAACUUAUGGGCUUCCUAAUUUAUGAUUUUUAAAAAUACAAGAAAAUCUCCCCUUUUUAGAUAUGAGCAGUUAUUUUACUAAAUUAUUCAUGAAAUGGGCGGGCAUAACUUUCAAGAAUAUUCUUAUAUUGUUUUUAUUUCCAUAAUUUUCUCAAGCUAAUAUGUGGCAUUUUAGAACUUUGCAUGUAACUUGAAUCUUUCAAAAUAACAAAUAGCUUUCUCAGUGAAUUAUGAUUUGCCUUAGACAUGCCUGUAGCUUUUGCUUCUUCCCUGAAAUAAAGUAUUAGGCAAACAUCUAGCACAGCGGACUAAUAUUAUUAUAAGUAUUAGUCUUUAUCUAUAAGUCAUUCGCUUCCUUCUAGCCUGUGGUGUGUGGUGAGGUAUAACUCCAGUGAUUACUGACCCUUUGCACAUUGUUCUUAGGCUGCUUCUAUAGUAGUUUGAUCACUGUUUACAAAGCCUUUAACUAUUUGUGAUAGAGCCUAGAUUUACAGCCUUAAGUCUUUGCUCAAAAUAAGCUCACCCCUACCCUCAGGCCUUUCAUCCAUACUUACUAUGUCCAAACUCAUCUAACUGUUGAUAGUUUGCUCGCUCUCCACAACUAUACCACAUAUAGAAGUGGGCAAGAUAGGGAAGAGAGAAAGACUUGAGACCUAAGUCAAUUCAAGUGUGGGUUUGGAACCUGGGAGCAGGAGAAAAGGG